AGAAUCAACGCUGGCGGCGUGCCUCAGACAUGCAAGUCGAACGCGAAAGUUCCCUUCGGGGGAUGAGUAGAGUGGCGCACGGGUGAGUAACACGUAGGUAAUCUACCUUUGGAUGGGGAAUAACAACCGGAAACGGUUGCUAAUACCGCAUAAUGCAGCGGCACCUAAUGGUGACAGUUGUUAAAGCGGGGGAUCGAAAGACCUCGCGUCUGAAGAGGAGCCUGCGGCGGAUUAGCUAGUUGGUAGGUAACGGCCUACCAAGGCUACGAUCCGUA
Molecule: ribosomal RNA, 275 nt
Filed under: uncultured soil bacterium
Lineage: Bacteria
Description: partial 16S ribosomal RNA
Rfam family: Bacterial small subunit ribosomal RNA
Source: RNAcentral